RNAcentral lists this ribosomal RNA (497 nucleotides) under uncultured bacterium. RNAcentral's name for it is "partial 16S ribosomal RNA". It matches the Rfam family "Bacterial small subunit ribosomal RNA", at positions 28 to 507 of the family's 1533-position model. The record is from RNAcentral.
GAUGAACGCUGGCGGCGUGCCUAAUACAUGCAAGUCGAGCGAACAGACGAGGAGCUUGCUCCUCUGACGUUAGCGGCGGACGGGUGAGUAACACGUGGAUAACCUACCUAUAAGACUGGGAUAACUUCGGGAAACCGGAGCUAAUACCGGAUAAUAUAUUGAACCGCAUGGUUCAAUAGUGAAAGACGGUUUUGCUGUCACUUAUAGAUGGAUCCGCGCCGCAUUAGCUAGUUGGUAAGGUAACGGCUUACCAAGGCAACGAUGCGUAGCCGACCUGAGAGGAUGAUCAGCCACACUGGAACUGAGACACGGUCCAGACUCCUACGGGAGGCAGCAGUAGGGAAUCUUCCGCAAUGGGCGCAAGCCUGACGGAGCAACGCCGCGUGAGUGAUGAAGGUCUUCGGAUCGUAAAACUCUGUUAUUAGGGAAGAACAAAUGUGUAAGUAACUAUGCACGUCUUGACGGUACCUAAUCAGAAAGCCACGGCUAACUACGUG